Molecule: long non-coding RNA, 715 nt
Filed under: Pan troglodytes (chimpanzee)
Lineage: Eukaryota; Metazoa; Chordata; Mammalia; Primates; Hominidae
Description: lncRNA (ENSPTRG00000053130.1)
Source: RNAcentral
UUGUUGCUGGCCGCGCGGAGCAGGGGUCGGCUUAGCUCGGGGACUGAGGGGAGCUCCUCCUGCGCCGCUCACCCGGCGCUCGCCGAACAGGUCCAAGCGGCUGCCCUGGGGCUUGACAUUGAAGGCGGCGCCCACGGGAGACCAGCUGGUGCUGACCCUUCGGGCCCGGAUCCCGGCUUCGAGGCUUCCCCGGCCCGCCCGGCGGGGCGGCAGAGCUGCUGCUCUGGCUCCCAAGCCGCCCAGCCUUCCGACGCACAGCAUUCUAUCACCGGAGCAGUCCCUUCCUCCAACGCAGACCCCUGCCGGGCUGCUUUCGCUGGGAGCGCGCGCUCCGCGUUUCCAAGGCAGCAGCCCACGCCGCCCCACGUGACGGCCCCGCUUCCGGGUCUGGGCGCGGCCUCAGGACGUGGGCACGUUGUCGUCCAGAGAGCAAGAGCGUCGCUCCCCCUCGCCUUCUCGGCCGCUCUCUCGGUUUACCGCCCCCUGUGUCCAGAGAUCACAGAUGGAGAGACAUUUUGCCACACGAUUAAUCACACACCACACCUCAUCCCCAAGCUUCAGCUGCAGGACAAUGCCGCCAGAGGCCUGGUCCUCAGAGCUCACGAUCUUAUCAAAUUUAAUGGGCACAUCUGAAGAAGGAAACUUGCUCAGCACCGUGAGCCCCACAGUGAAAGCACUUUUUGGCAAGACUAGAGUCUCACCGAUUUUCCCUUUC